AGUGAACGCUGGCGGUAGGCCUAACACAUGCAAGUCGAACGGCAGCACAGUAAGAGCUUGCUCUUACGGGUGGCGAGUGGCGGACGGGUGAGGAAUACAUCGGAAUCUACUUUUUCGUGGGGGAUAACGUAGGGAAACUUACGCUAAUACCGCAUACGACCUACGGGUGAAAGCAGGGGAUCUUCGGACCUUGCGCGAUUGAAUGAGCCGGUGUCGGAUUAGCUAGUUGGGGGGGUAAGGGCCCACCAAGGCGACGACCCGUAGCUGGUCUGAGAGGAUGAUCCGCCACACUGGAACUGAGACACGGUCCAGACUCCUACGGGAGGCAGCAGUGGGGAAUAUUGGACAAUGGGCGCAAGCCUGAUCCAGCCAUACCGCGUGAGUGAAGAAGGCCUUCGGGUUGUAAAGCCCUUUUGUUGGGAAAGAAAAGCAGCAGGUUAAUACCCCGCUGUUCUGACGGUACCCAAAGAAUAAGCACCGGCUAACUUCGUG
This 492-nucleotide ribosomal RNA is filed under the name uncultured bacterium. RNAcentral describes it as "partial 16S ribosomal RNA". It matches the Rfam family "Bacterial small subunit ribosomal RNA", at positions 29 to 507 of the family's 1533-position model. The record is from RNAcentral.